CAGCCGUCGAACCUAUUACUUUUGAUGGUUUGACCUCGGAUCAGGUAGGGAUACCCGCUGAACUUAAGCAUAUCAAUAAGCGGAGGA
This 87-nucleotide ribosomal RNA is filed under the name [Graphium] dubautiae. RNAcentral describes it as "Graphium dubautiae partial 28S ribosomal RNA". The stretch from base 31 to 87 matches the Rfam family "Eukaryotic large subunit ribosomal RNA", at positions 1 to 57 of the family's 3401-position model. The record is from RNAcentral. Lineage: Eukaryota; Fungi; Ascomycota; Sordariomycetes; Microascales; Graphiaceae.